CUUCAAGAAGGUUUGGGUUGGACUGGGUUCUAGGAAUGGCCUGGGUUUUUUGGUUGCAGAAUUCUUUUUCCAGAGUGCAUUCUGAACUUCGUCAGAGAGCUGUUCAGGCCUCCCGGAGGCUGCGAGGUCCUUGGGGGCCUCACCCUGCCCCUCCUGGAGCCCCCAGCAGUGUCAGAGAUGACGGAAGGGUGAGGUCAGAAGCUGACAGGGUGUGACCCCGUGCACCAGGGAGGGCUUUGCAGCCAUCACUGCAGGGCCCCGUCACGAGGCCCUGGGGAGGGGACACUGUUGUGCGUUGUACCACAGGAAACUGCGCUGUGGUGCUCCCGACUCCCCUGACCUCAAUGUAGCAGCAGCGCGAGACUCCAGGGCACGUGGAGCCAGCUCCCUGCUGUCCCUCCUUUCUCCCCGUCCCCACUUCCCCCACCACUUUCUUUCUUUCCCUCCCCUCUCCUUUCUCCUCCUCUCUUCCCCCCUGCCUUCCCAUUCUCUCCUGUCCUCUCCUCCGCCUUUCCUUCUUCUCUCCCCCUCCAGCCUCUGCCCAGGCUCUCGCUGCCCCAUUCCGCUUUUCUCCUCUUCCUCCUUUCUGUCCUGCGUUGUUUACCGAGGCAGUGCCAGUUUCUCUGGUGGAGACAAAGUGCUAUGCCGAGCUCUGUAGGAGACGCAAAGGUGCAGAAGACACGUGAUUGUCAAAAGCGACCCCGAAGACACCGCCAAGGGGUGAGUCUGGAGAGAGAACUGGAGCAUAAUGGCAGGUGUCACUCCUAUUUCUCUGUUUUGCUGUUGGCUACUGUGACCUGAGGUUCACCACAGAGACUGAAAAAUAGACUUACGGGAUGGCCAGGAAGAAAAACCUGGUUUUCCGAAGGACUGAGCAGAAGAGAAGCACCCAGCAGCCCUGGCCCUCGUGUCCAGUUAUUACCCGAGGAUGAGGUGCAGUUGAGUCGACCUUUGUUACAGCAGCGUAAACUCCGCCAGGCCCUUCUGGAACCCAAGUGGCAGGUUCAGACCAGGAGCUCAUGCUUGUCAAGCCGUCAACUGAGAAGCUACAUAAAUGAUUAUCUCUCCUGCUGAAACUUUUCACAGAACUACCUGCAAGGUGGGACUAAAGCUUCUACUUGUUUUCUUCUACAUCUAGAGUGGCGUUGCACAAGAGGGAGGGGCCCAGGGCUGAAGAAGAAGCAAUGGAAAAGAAGUAUCGGGCAUGACUGUGUUAGCAUUCUGUAAAGAGUUAUAAAAUUUGAUCCUAUGUAAAAAAGCCAUUCAAUCUGAAAUUCACGUGUGAGGUACGUUCAGUCAGUUACUGAUCAAAUCAAAACAAUCAAGGUGUCUGUAUUUUCACUUGCUAGGGACCCGAUCCAUUUCAAAUCCUACUAGGUGGCUUAUUUUCAUUUUUAAUUUUGUAAUGCACCUCACUGUGGGCCAGGCACUGGGACGAGGGUGUGAAGUGCCCCUAAAAUGCACCACAACCCUUCAAGGAAACACUACUGCCCCAUUGACAGCGGGCAAGUUUUUCCUGAUGUUCCCUGACUAGCAGGUGCACCCGCUGUGAGUCCAGCUGUUUACGCUCUGAUUCACUCACCCUUGGCUCAGCGUUGUGUCUCAGGCAGCCACCCCGUGGGCACAGGUCACCUUCAGAGGCAUGGACAAGAUGAACCAGGCCCUGCCCUUUGUGAGCUUAAAUCCUCUCUGGGAGUGGGCAGACAACAAACAGCUAAACACAGGCACCAGCAGGGCUGAGUUAGGCAGUGACAGAUAUACAAAGAAAGGAAAUAACUCAGUCUGCUAGGGAUAAGAGAAGACCAGAGCAGAGAUUAGUUUUUGAGAGAAUGCAGAGUCCGAUUUUAGGGCCCAGGAGAUGCUCCUUUGGCAUCUAAAGGAAGAGGCCCUUCUGGCAACUGGUGGUAAUACCAACACUCGUCAUGGGUGAGGGUGAUCAGAAAGUACAGUGAAGGUUUACGUUCUAAAAACGUGUCACAGGAAAAGGUACAUUGCCAUUAAUCCUCAUCAGAAAUACUCCUUGCUUCAAACACACUUAACCUGUUUGUCUUGCCCUUUUCUGGAGCAGUUGAUGGUUUGUACUGACAGAAGUCUCUGUCAGAUAGAGAUAUGACGGCGUGUCCUCAUCCCCGGAUCUGGCACUGUGACUUUUGUGGCCCCUCCCCGAAGUCAGAAGGACCACGAGGCAGAAAUGCUUUGCAUCAGUUCAGGACAUCAAGGCAGCCUCAGCAAGGCAACUAAAGGCACUCCCAAAAGAAGACUUUCAGAGCUGCUUCAAAAGUCGGCAAGAACAAGGACAUAAAUGUGCUUGAAGCCAGAGGGAGGAUUUUAAGGGAGACUCAUCUUGCAUUGCAAUUUUUUAAAAAAAUGUAAACAUUCACUGUAGGUUCUGAUCACACCUUGUAUUGAGUGCUGGUGUGUUCUUGUCACUAACACUUAUCCUUUAAAAUACAUCAGCUUACUCAUUCUCCCAAGAAUCCUGUAGGGCAUUGUUCCCGUUUCUCAGACAAGGAUACAGGUUCCAUAACCUUCCCAGAGUCCUGGGGCAACGAGGUGCAGAGUCAGGCCUCAGACGCAGACCCUGGCUCUCGGGUCUCCCCUCCUCUCCCCUCUGUCCCGCUUCUCUCUGGCGUAGACCAGGUGGGUCCGGCAGUGGGGAGUCCGGGGACAGGGUGUGGCAGGAGGGGUCCUUACCACACAUUCUGCGGUACAGUCAUUGGACUUGACUGAACACCAAUUGUUAGAAAGGACAGCAAGCCGGGCCCGAAUCCUGGGUGUGCCAGGGUUUGAGGUCAGGACGGAAGAGGAAUCCUCAGAGGAUGAGAACCACCUGUAGGCACCUUUGUCCUACCUACCUGCCAAAGACCAGAGACAGGAGAGCAGCUCUGGUUUCUUUGCUUCAGAAACUCAUGCACUUAACCUCUGUGCCAUCCUGUCUCCCCUAAUUACAUUAAAUAAGCAAGUAAAUAGGCUCAUUAAUUUUGAAAUGGACUCCAGAUGUGACGAUCCUGAAGCUGCAAGGCUGUGUCAGUUAUGUAAAAGCGGCUUUGAGGCUGGGGUCAUGCUGUCAGCUCCUCCAUCGGCCACCUCGCCUACCUGUCACACACAAAUAGGAAUUCAGGGAGUGAUAGGAGCCUCCGUUGCAUUUUAAUACUUUUGCUCCUAGGAUGUCUGUUUUUGGGCUAAGACUUGGGCUUCAGCCUCCUCUGAGUCGUGUGACAUCUGUGCUGGGGUUGUUUCAAAAGCCAAGAAGUUGCCUCAUCAGCUGAGAAUUGAAUUCUGUAUACGCACAGGGGAGCCUUAGUCAAAAUAGAAAUAAAAGUCGUGUUUACGUACACGCUGACAUGAGACCCUUCAUUGAGUUACUGAGCCUGCCAGCGUUUAUCCCCCGUUCACACUCCAGUAUGCACUGUGCUAGAAGCUGGCAAUAAAAAUAAGACACAGCCCCUGGUUAGGAGGACCUUUCAAGAGUUGGGUCAGAAAGCAAGAUGCCGCAGAGUAAAUAAAGCGGUGGUGGUGACAUCACAAAGCUCUGUGUCCCCCCGGUGAGUGGAAGCCACCUGUGCCAGUGUUUGUGUGUGUGCGUGAAUCCGCUUUCUGUUUCUAAAACAAAAUACCUAUGACUGGGAACUGUAUAAACACACAGGGUUUAGUUAGCUCAUAGUUUGAAAGGCUGAAGGCCCAAGACCAGGUGGUCUCAUGUACUCAACCACUGAGGUAGGCAGGGAAGUGAGCGGGGAAAUGGUCACAGGCAGAACCGUCCAAGUGUGUGGGUUGGUCUCAGGCUGCAGCAACUCACUCGUAGGAAAAAGUAUCAGUCCUUCCCAAGAGCAGCGCCCUGAAUGAUCUGAUUCUUUUUUUUUUUUUUGGUACCGGGAAUUGAACUCAGGGACCCAUGUUUGCCAGGCAGUUGCCACAUCACUGAGCUGCAUUCUCGGCCCUUGAAUGGUCUGAUUCUUAAAAGUUCUACCACAUCAACACUACCACACCAAGGACCGAGCCUUCCACACAAAGACCUUUCGGGAACAAACCGUAUUCCAACCAUGGCAGCGUGUGGUACCUAAGUGGGUGGGAGACAGGAAGAGCCGUAGCAGACAAAGCAGACACGGAGCCUGGAAAGGUAAGUUGAGCACGACCAGCCUUCCACCACCGACUCUCCUUCCUUCCACCCACCCACCCAUCAUCCACCCGCCGUCCAUCCAUUCCUUUGUUAAUGCUCCCAUUCACUUACCA
Molecule: long non-coding RNA, 4233 nt
Organism: Fukomys damarensis (Damara mole-rat)
Lineage: Eukaryota; Metazoa; Chordata; Mammalia; Rodentia; Bathyergidae
Source: Ensembl